UACGUAGGGGGCAAGCGUUGUCCGGAAUUAUUGGGCGUAAAGAGCGUGUAGGCGGUCCGGUAAGUCGGCUGUGAAAGUCCAGGGCUCAACCCUGGGAUGCCGGUCGAUACUGCCGGACUAGAGUUCGGAAGAGGCGAGUGGAAUUCCCGGUGUAGCGGUGAAAUGCGCAGAUAUCGGGAGGAACACCUAUGGCGAAGGCAGCUCGCUGGGACGUUACUGACGCUGAGGCGCGAAAGCUAGGGUAGCAAACGGG
This 253-nucleotide ribosomal RNA is filed under the name uncultured bacterium. RNAcentral describes it as "partial 16S ribosomal RNA". It matches the Rfam family "Bacterial small subunit ribosomal RNA", at positions 524 to 776 of the family's 1533-position model. The record is from RNAcentral.